UACGGGGGGAGCAAGCGUUGUUCGGAUUUACUGGGCGUAAAGGGCGCGUAGGCGGCCUGCUAAGUCGGACGUGAAAUCCCCGGGCUCAACCCGGGAACUGCGUCCGAUACUGGCAGGCUUGAAUCCGGGAGAGGGAUGUGGAAUUCCAGGUGUAGCGGUGAAAUUCGUAGAUAUCGGGAGGAACACCGGUGGCGAAGGCGGCGACCUGGGUCGAGACUGACGCUGAGGCGCGAAAGCGUGGGGAGCAAACAGG
RNAcentral lists this ribosomal RNA (253 nucleotides) under uncultured bacterium. Its description in RNAcentral is "partial 16S ribosomal RNA". It matches the Rfam family "Bacterial small subunit ribosomal RNA", at positions 524 to 776 of the family's 1533-position model. The record is from RNAcentral.